UUUUUUUUUUUUAAAGUUUGAUGAUUAUAAGAAGAAAGAACUCAAUUCGAAACUAUUCUGACAAACCCUUAUAAGAGCAAAGAGGAAUAGCUACAAUCGGUCAAGUAGACUGGAGAAAAUAAAACGAGGGAACAAGAAUCAAGACUGAAGUCCUCCUGUCAUGUUACUUUAUUCGCUACAAACAAGAUGUUCAUCAGCUUGCUUUAAGGAAAUCUAACAAGACAACUAGUAGAACUAUUUCAAGAGUUCUUGCGGAAUUUCCAGUUAUCUAAAUUUAUCUAGACCUAUCAUGCAUAUGCUCCUUGAAUUGUUGCCUCAACAUGCCAACAAGAAGUUCGGUCACUAGUACAAGGGAGAGGCAGGGGCGGGGGCGGGGGGAGUUACUUGUAGACGGGUGGCCCUGCCCCAAAAUCGCCCUGUUGCCAUCCAUUACUCUAUAUUCAAGUCAUUGUAACUGUACUAAGCAUAAGCAUGGUCAGGAGUAGUGAUAAGGCAAAAUAUUAGUGGAGUUUGGAUUCAUCGAUGUACAAUCCCAAGUCCUUAUAAAUGUACUAAUUGCAUAAGCAUCGUCAGAGGUUACUGUAAUUGCAAGGCAAAAUAUGAAUGGAGUUUGGAUUCGUCCAUGUACAAUAUUAAGGCAUAAGCAUAGUCAGUGCAAUAAGAAUAGUUUGGAGUAGUAGUAAGAAUAUUAGCAGAGUUUGGAGUAAAAGAGGGAAGGGGCAGGCAGUAGAAUGGUAGAAGUGGAACUAGAGUGAGUGGUUGUUGGGGAGGCAGGCAGCAGACUUGGUUUUGCAUCUCCCCUUCCCUGCAAAAGAAAAGUUAUAUAGGUAAUAAAUCAUCGCCAUUCAUUACUCCACAAUGGGAAGAAAAAAUCCAGAAAACCUCUAUAUGUGUUAACUGUGCUCCAAAAUUUACUUGUUUUGUCUCACUUCUGGGGUGGAGGUGCCCAUGAACUCAGUGGCAUUUCCUACAAAAAUUUUCAGGUUAAUCCAAGUAACUUCAUUAAUCUUUUCUUUUUCAGUUCUUAGUUAAAAAAUAUAUAUUCCAAGUAAGUUCCGCAAUCUUUUCUGUUAAGAAUUCCUUAAUUUCUGAUCCAAGUAAGUUUAGUAAUAUUUUCUAUUAAGAAUUCCUUAAUUUCUGGAAAUUAUAAGAAGUAUGGUACAUUUCAUAUACCUCAAGGUUAUCAACAUCAUCCGCAGCAGUAUCAUUAAGGUUCAUAUCCUGCUAUAAUCUAUUUGUUAAUUCACACACUCCAAAUGACGUUGAUUCACGAUUCAUGAUUUUUUUUAAAAAAAUCAUGAAUCGUGAAUCAACGUCAUUUGGAGUGUGUGAAUUAACAAAUAAAUUAUAGCAGGAUAUGAUUUGAACACGUAACAUAUACGUAAAAUAUGAUGGUAGAAUUAAGUAAAAUCUCACCUCUUUUUAUCCACCAAAUCAAGUAAGCGGCCAUUUGAUGUCGCAACCUAAAUUUGCGAGUCGAAUCGAGUCGAGUCAAAUUUUAGUUUAAUCAAAAUGAGUCUCGACUUAAUUUUAUCAGAUUCGCGUUCUAAAUGUAAAACUCGAGUUCGAAUUCAACCUUAAAUUUGAUUCGAGUCAAAUCAAGUCAAAUUCAAACUCGAGUUUAUAAAAUAAAAAAUAAUUAUUUUAUUUUUUAAAAAUGAAUAAAAUAGUUAAAUAAUAUAUAUGAAAUCAAAUCGGCACGUAAGUUAACAAGUUGAGUAUUUUUGACCUCUAAUUCAAUCUCGAAUCAGAGUUUUGACUCAAGCAACUUGUGAAUUAGUUUAGUGUACCAUUGGAAUGUACAUUGCUGUGAAGGCGUUUUCAUGUUUGAUCAAUGGGAAGUUAAAGUUUGUCCCCCAAUAAAAAUAAAAAUAAAACUUUUACUAUAUAUUGUGAUACGACUUUUCCCUCUUGUGAAAUGAAAGUCGUGAAUGCGGUUACACAGGAGCAUGGUGACGCAGCGCCUGAGGAUGUAGAUUCUUGUUUUCUGCUGCUUCAUCACCAUCAAACACCGCUUCCUGAACCCAUUUCUCAGGCGACUUUUGCGUCGAGAAUCAGACGGUGGUGGGAUUAAGUAAGAAAUGCUCACGGUGGUGGAGAAUGGAGACUCCUCAAAUUUUGGAUAUCAGCCAUGGGAUUGAAUUAAGGUAGAAGAAGAUGGACUGAGUUGAGACUUGGGACUUGGGACUUGGGGGCAGGGCAUAGGAAAACCCGUCAUAUAUAGAGAGACCAAUGACAGAGAGAGGCGCUAGCGACAGGUGUCAGCUACGGCGGUCCCUUUGUUUAAGUUAGAGGUCAAAUCAUGAUAAUGGAAACUACUACCUGAAAAAAUGCAUGCUCACAAAUUCUCUUUUUUUAAAAAAAAAAAAUUUUAAAAUAAAAUGUUACUUUUUCCUUGCAAUUUCUUGCCUUCCAAUCAUACUUGAGAAUAAUCUUUAUCGUCUUUUGUCUCGUAAAACUCUCAAAUAACGUUUUAAUGUUUACAAAUUUGUCUUUUCUCUUGGUUUUCUUUUCCUUAAUGUAAUUUUCUGUUUAUAUUCUUUUUUUUGGUUUUCCCUUGCUCUUAAACUCACACGCUGGACUUAGCAUCCUAUCCUUGGCAAUUAGUUUGCAUCUCAUUCUUCGAAAUCUUCUGCUAUGAACCAGAGGUGCACAGAUGCACCCUCUUCAUCGAGCCUAUAUCAGCAGGAAAAAAAAAAAACAAAAACUAUUCUGAUCGAGCCUAUUUUAGCGUACUCAAGUAAAUGACCGUCAUGUCGAUCUGCAAAAGUCCUUAUUUUCAUUGCCAAGAGUAGUAUAAGCAUGUAAUCAAAACUCACAGAACUUCCAUAACCCCCCCCCCCCCCCCCCCCCAAAAGCAACAAAAAAUGUAUUUGAAGAAGCUUUAUAAGGAGAUUUCAUGGCGCAUCAUGAGUAAGUGACCGUCAUGCUUCAACCUUCAUCUCACCUAUGAAAGUUUGUUUCGUGAAAAUAUAAACCUAACAAACGGUCCCGGACAGUUAAAGAGGGACCAAGCCCUUCUUGGUCCUCAUCCAAUUGUAGGGUAGUAAUCCACCACCCCAUCUACUCUUUGACAGGGCUACAAAUUGAGGUGGUAGUAAAGGAUGACCUCGUCCUCCCGCUAGACUCAUUUAAGGCACAACACAAGUAGUGAGGCAGCCUCUAAAGGUUACCCCGCUAUGCAAACCAAAUCUCUGACCACGAAGUUGAUGCGACAGAGAAAUUUGCUUCUCCGAUCACCUACAUGUGGGGCAAUUGAUUAAGAAGCCCCCCCCAUAACCAACCAACCAAAUCCCAAUUGCUCCUCAAGUAUACAUGUCAGUGGAAAGAUAUGGUGAAAUCAUGCAUAGUGGAAGGAAUCAAGAUCAUUUGAUGAUCCAUCAUGUUAUUGGGUGGACUAUAGACUCUAACUUCGCAUAUAAUCCUUGUUUAAUUAGUUCAAUUCAUUUGGUUGUUCAUCUGAUGUUAUUCAUCAUCAAGAGUUGUACUAUCUGGUGAAAAAAAAAAUUGCUUGCAAAAGCACCGGAAGUCAGUGACAAAUUAUCAAUACACUAAUAUUAACACUACUGUUUACGCGUUCCUCAAAAAGAAAUCAUCAAGGCGUAAGACCUAGAUUCGAUGACAAAUUCAUCCAUACAAGAUCAAUUUUUCAAGUAGAUUCAUCAUCCACGGGCUACAACUACAAGAGGAGAAAUAGCUCUCCAGUUCUGAACAGAGAGUUUUGCCCCUUUACCUCUCCAACUCCUGUACAGCUAUCAAUACAAAUGGGAUGAGUCCAUUGACCUUAAGCAAAAACAUCUCUUGACCAAAGACUUCAGCCCAUUUUUGGACUGCAGCACCUACCCUUGAUCUCUAAUGACCUUUAAUUGCUGAACCCUUCCGUUUCGGCCAAGAUCAAGAUUUGCCGGAUCAUAUCAUCAAAAAGAGUCACAUGGGUUCUCCGUCUCGCUUCCGGGAGCGUCCCCUGAAUUGCUGUCGGACAAGAUACUCAAUUUAUUGAGCUACUAAUCUGAUAAGGAGUGAUCGUGCCAACACAAAAGCAUGGUGACGCAGCGCCUGAGGAUGUAGAUUCUUGUUUUCUGCUGCUUCAUCACCAUCAAACACCGCUUCCUGAACCCAUUUCUCCGGCCGCUUUUGCCUCGAGAGCCAGACGACGGUGGGAUUAAGUAAGAAAUACUCAUGGUGGUGGAGACUGGAGACUGGAGACUGUCUACCUGGAACUUCGGAAAUUAGCUUUGAGAUAGAAUUAAGGGAGAAGAAGAUUGAUUGAGCUGGGAGCAGAGUAUAGGAAAGCCCGUCAUAUAUAGAGAGGCCAGAGAGAGAGGCUAGUGCUAGAUAUCGUGGUCCCGUUGUUUAAGUUUGCGGUCAUAUCAUAAUAAUGGGUAGUAAAACCUAAAAACAUGUAUCCUUACACAUUUUUUUUAUUUUAAAUAAAAAAUAUUAUUU
RNAcentral lists this long non-coding RNA (4446 nucleotides) under Coffea arabica (coffee). RNAcentral's name for it is "long non-coding RNA (CARA_LNC004491)". Lineage: Eukaryota; Viridiplantae; Streptophyta; Magnoliopsida; Gentianales; Rubiaceae. The record is from RNAcentral.